GGAAACAGUAGCAGUGAGGUGGAAACAGCAGCACCGAGGGGAAACAGUAGCAGUAAGGGGGAAACAGCAGCAGUGAUGGGGAAACAGCAGCAGUGAGGGGGAAACAGCAGCAGUGACAGGGAAACAGCAGCAGUGAGGUGGAAACAGCAGAAGUGAGGGGGAAACAGUAGCAGUGAGGUGGAAACAGCAGCACCGAGGUGGAAACAGUAGAAGUGAGGUGGAAACAUAGCAGUAAGGGGGAAACAGCAGAAGUGAUUGGAAACAGUAGCAGUGAUGGGAAACAGUAGCAGUGACGGGAAACAGUAAAAGUGAUGGAAAACAGUAGCAGUAAGGGG
RNAcentral lists this long non-coding RNA (335 nucleotides) under Salmo salar (Atlantic salmon). Its description in RNAcentral is "lncRNA (ENSSSAG00000111112.1)". The record is from RNAcentral. Lineage: Eukaryota; Metazoa; Chordata; Actinopteri; Salmoniformes; Salmonidae.